ACUCCGUGAUGAGGGCAUCUUUGUAAUAGUUCUAUAAACCUAUCCCACACCUCAUACAAUGACUCGUCAUCCAUUUGUUGGAAGGUAGUGAUCUCAUUCCUCAACUU
Molecule: non-coding RNA, 107 nt
Organism: Gossypium hirsutum (cotton)
Lineage: Eukaryota; Viridiplantae; Streptophyta; Magnoliopsida; Malvales; Malvaceae
Source: Rfam